UUUUUGAUCCAGCAGUCAAAUCACAGGUCCCAGUAGUCCCAGCUCCACAGUUACCUUCACCUCAGCUUUCAUAAAAUGUCAUGUGCUGUCUGGGUUUGCAAUGCCAUAUUGCCUUAGACCCAUCUCCCAUACAGAUACGUCAUAUAUUCGUCAUGACUCAGGUUUCCCUUGUUUUCUUCAAGAUCAAGAUGAAUGACAGAUGUCAGAAAACUAACCUUUGAAAAAAUAAUUAAAAAUGCCUUUUUUUUUUUUUUUGUUCUUGCAGUCCAUCUAAUUUAUAUAUUCUGAUUUAGGCAGCAGGUUUACAUGUGCUAUAAUACAUUUCAAUGCUUUUUUAAAUUGGCUUAAUACAUUAUUUUCAUCACCUCUUCACUGGUAGCAUCAAAAGGCUACCAUGUUACCAGAACUCAAUUUUGAAAACAUAUCACAAUGUUUGGAAUUAACAUAUUUUAACCUCAUAAAUUUUAUAGCAGAAUGCUUUAUGAUUAAACACCCACUUUAAUCUAACAUAUUACGAGUGUUGUUGCUUUUAUUAGACCAUUAGAAAAUAUUAACCUAUCACAUAUACUAUCCCAUACUAUUCUUUCCCCUCUUUUGCAAAUAACAACACUCUUAAUUAGCUAGGCUUCUCUGAAAUUUAAUUUUGGCUCACAUAAGUACCAGAUCUUAAUAUAGACAAGAAUUUUCAUUCUGUAAUUGUUAGGUUUAUAGAUGUCUACUGUAACAUAAAACACAGGAUGAUCUCUCUCUCCCUUCCCAGAUGACAGUCUGAAACUUGGUAAUUUUUCAUGUUUGCUAUCUAGAUCAGUGAAGGACUGGACUCCAUAUGUUACAUGAUAACUGCCAACAUAAUGUCAAAGAUCAUAAUGAAUAACCAAAACUAAGUUUCUCCCUUGUUUGCACACUCACUAAAAUUGGUUAAGUGAACCACAGUAUUUUUAAGAAGGACCCUCAGGUGGUUUGAACUUUGGAGUGCAUCUGUCUUCUUUCUUUUUACUUAAGCUUCCAAAAAUACCAUGUGUAAGGUUUUAUUAGAACAGAGAGUAAAGGAGAAAAUGUUAUUUUGUUUGGUUAUAUGUCUCUGUAGUAAAAUAAAUGGAAAAUGAUGUGGAAUAGGAUAAAAACU
This 1126-nucleotide long non-coding RNA is filed under the name Anas platyrhynchos platyrhynchos (common mallard). RNAcentral's name for it is "lncRNA (ENSAPLG00000029962.1)". Lineage: Eukaryota; Metazoa; Chordata; Aves; Anseriformes; Anatidae. The record is from RNAcentral.